This 553-nucleotide ribosomal RNA is filed under the name uncultured euryarchaeote. RNAcentral's name for it is "bacterial SSU rRNA". It matches the Rfam family "Archaeal small subunit ribosomal RNA", at positions 325 to 879 of the family's 1478-position model. The record is from RNAcentral. Lineage: Archaea; Methanobacteriati; Methanobacteriota.
AUGGGGUGCAGCAGGCGCGAAAACUUCGCAAUGUGGGAAACCACGACGAGGGGAUUCCAAGUGCUCAUGGAAUUCCAUGGGCUGUUUUCCUACCUAAAAACCAAGGAGAGAAAGGGCUGGGUAAGACGGGUGCCAGCCGCCGCGGUAAUACCCGCAGCUCGAGUGGUGAUCGUUAUUGUUGGGCCUAAAGCGUCCGUAGCCUGCUCAGUAAAUCCUUGGGUAAAUCGGGCAGCUUAACUGUCCGAAUUCCGGGGAGACUGCUGAGCUUGGGACUGGGAGAGGUAGGAGGUACUCCGGGGGUAGAGGUGAAAUUCUGUAAUCCUCGGGGGACCACCAGUGGCGAAGGCGUCCUACUUGAACGGGUCCGACGGCGAGGGACGAAGCCCUGGGGCACAAACCGGAUUAGAUACCCGGGUAGUCCAGGGUGUAAACGCUGCGGGCUUGGUGUUGGGGGUCCUACGAGGGCGUCCAGUCCCGGAGAGAAGUUGUUAAGCCCGCCGCCUGGGGAGUACGGUCGCAUGACUGAAACUUAAAGGAAUUGGCGGGGGAGCAC